UGGCGGACGGGUGAGUAACGCGUGGGGAACCUGCCCUGUACAGGGGGAUAACACUUAGAAAUAGGUGCUAAUACCGCAUAAGCGCACAGUAUCGCAUGAUACAGUGUGAAAAACUCCGGUGGUACAGGAUAGACCCGCGUCUGAUUAGCUGGUUGGCGGGGUAACGGCCCACCAAGGCGACGAUCAGUAGCCGGCCUGAGAGGGUGAACGGCCACAUUGGGACUGAGACACGGCCCAAACUCCUACGGGAGGCAGCAG
Molecule: ribosomal RNA, 258 nt
Filed under: uncultured bacterium
Lineage: Bacteria
Description: partial 16S ribosomal RNA
Rfam family: Bacterial small subunit ribosomal RNA
Source: RNAcentral